GAUGAACGCUGGCGGCGUGCCUAAUACAUGCAAGUCGAGCGAACGGACGAGAAGCUUGCUUCUCUGAUGUUAGCGGCGGACGGGUGAGUAACACGUGGAUAACCUACCUAUAAGACUGGGAUAACUUCGGGAAACCGGCGCUAAUACCGGAUAAUAUUUUGAACCGCAUGGUUCAAAAGUGAAAGACGGUCUUGCUGUCACUUCUAGAUGGAUCCGGGCUGCAUUAGCUAGUUGGUAAGUUAACGGCUUACCAAGGCAACGAUGCAUAUCCGACCUGAGAGGGUGAUCGGCCACAUGGGAACUUGGACACGGUCAAGACUCCUACGGGAGGCAGCAGUAGGGAAUCUUCCGCAAUGGGCGAAAGCCUGGCGGAGCAACGCCGCGUGAGUUAUGAAGGUCUUCGGAUCGUAAAACUCUGUUAUGAGGGAAGAACAUAUUUGUAAGUAACUGUGCACAUCUUGACGGUACCUAAUCAGAAAGCCACGGCUAACUACGUG
This 497-nucleotide ribosomal RNA is filed under the name uncultured bacterium. RNAcentral's name for it is "partial 16S ribosomal RNA". It matches the Rfam family "Bacterial small subunit ribosomal RNA", at positions 28 to 507 of the family's 1533-position model. The record is from RNAcentral.